RNAcentral lists this long non-coding RNA (286 nucleotides) under Elaeis guineensis (African oil palm). Its description in RNAcentral is "long non-coding RNA (EGUI_LNC010821)". Lineage: Eukaryota; Viridiplantae; Streptophyta; Magnoliopsida; Arecales; Arecaceae. The record is from RNAcentral.
CAUCCAUCCAUACUUUCCAAAUUAAAUCCUAACCAUUCAUCUAUCCUCUCUUUUUAGUCCCACAUCAAAAAAAUAUAAAAUCCUCCUCUCUGCCUACAUCUAUAAAUAAAGCCUGAUACCUCCAUUCAUAAUAUAUCUCUCUCCACUCUAUAAUUUUUAUAGGGGAGUCUGUGUGACAGACAGAUAUACCCACUUUUAAAAUUUUUUAGCCACCUUAUUUUCACUUUCUUCCAUCCUUCCAACACACGAGAAGGAGAGUCAGCCAGGGGAAGGUUGAUCCCAAGCC